RNAcentral lists this ribosomal RNA (478 nucleotides) under uncultured bacterium. RNAcentral describes it as "partial 16S ribosomal RNA". It matches the Rfam family "Bacterial small subunit ribosomal RNA", at positions 28 to 523 of the family's 1533-position model. The record is from RNAcentral.
GACGAACGCUGGCGGCGUGCUUAACACAUGCAAGUCGAACGGUAAGGCCCUUCGGGGUACACGAGUGGCGAACGGGUGAGUAACACGUGGGUGAUCUGCCCUGCACUUCGGGAUAAGCCUGGGAAACUGGGCCUAAUACCGGAUAGGACCACUGCCUGCAUGGGUGGUGGUGGAAAGCUUUUGCGGUGUGGGAUGGGCCCGCGGCCUAUCAGCUUGUUGGUGGGGUGAUGGCCUACCAAGGCGACGACGGGUAGCCGGCCUGAGAGGGUGACCGGCCACACUGGGACUGAGAUACGGCCCAGACUCCUACGGGAGGCAGCAGUGGGGAAUAUUGCACAAUGGGCGCAAGCCUGAUGCAGCGACGCCGCGUGAGGGAUGACGGCCUUCGGGUUGUAAUCCUCUUUCAGCACCGACGAAGCGCAAGUGACGGUAGGUGCAGAAGAAGGACCGGCCAACUACGUGCCAGCCGCCGCAGUAA